Molecule: long non-coding RNA, 194 nt
Organism: Otolemur garnettii (small-eared galago)
Lineage: Eukaryota; Metazoa; Chordata; Mammalia; Primates; Galagidae
Exons: 3
Source: RefSeq, a predicted model, not a curated record
AGAGAGAUCUGAUGCUCAGGCAAACAAAGCUGUAAGGCGGCAGGAACAGCGACCAUGCUGGCUUUCCAGUGGACCAGGAGGACCCUGAUGAGCAAGGAGCUGUGUGCACAGUGGCCCAGCAGCGGCAGCAGUAUGGUGUGGAUGCAGCCAACAAAACCCAAAGCAUCUGAUGGACAUCCCAAGAUGGAUCUGUG